This 101-nucleotide unclassified non-coding RNA is filed under the name Escherichia coli UMN026. RNAcentral describes it as "RybD". The record is from RNAcentral. Lineage: Bacteria; Pseudomonadati; Pseudomonadota; Gammaproteobacteria; Enterobacterales; Enterobacteriaceae.
AUAUCUGUAAUAAGAAAUAGCCCUCGCCGCUUCCCUCUACAGGAAUGGCGAAGGGCUGUCGGUUUCGACAUGGUUGGCCAUCGUAUGAUGGCCUUUUUUAU